This is a long non-coding RNA of Thunnus maccoyii (southern bluefin tuna), 1358 nucleotides long. RefSeq lists it as uncharacterized. The record is from RefSeq and is a predicted model, not a curated record. Lineage: Eukaryota; Metazoa; Chordata; Actinopteri; Scombriformes; Scombridae. The transcript is spliced from 4 exons.
ACGCACCCUCUCGCUCUGGCACGACACCGGAAAUAUACUCAACGUGACGAUACGUGAUGAGCAUUGUAAACAAAAUGUUUUCCUAACCUGCAGAGGGAAUGCCGUCUCAAGCGUCUUUCAUUUGAAUCUCCAGAAUGUUGUGUGAAGUCCUGCUCUCAUCACUAUGGUUCCUUUUUGUCAUCUUCUGGGUCGAGACGAUAAGUGUGUGGCUGUUUCUCUCCAUGUUCUACCAAGACCGGGCGUUGUACCACUGGGGAGAUGGGGUAUUUGCAGAUGAUCCUGGGCAGAUGAUAUACAUGUUGAGCAGAGUUGAUGAUACUCAUACACAGAGGGAGAUGCAGACCUGAGACAGAAGAAGAUCAAGGACUCCUCUAAAAAGGACUCUGAAUAGACGGCGGUUGCAGUUAUGUGACUCGAGAUGAAAAGCAGUAGCUGUUUCCUUUGCACUGACUGCCUUGCACACUGAUGUGCACAGUCCUUUAUAACAUAGGUAAAUAUAGUAGGUCCACUUUGAAAAAUAGGUGGAGGAGAGUUGUGGCAUGAACAUAGAAGGAGGUGCUCGAUGAAUAAUGUGUAUAACACCCACCGCUGUAACAUUUAUAUUUUCACUUUCACAUUUUGGGGAAGCUAAAUGAGGGUAGCGGCAAAUGCUUGGGUUACAAAGGAUGAUUUCAUCCAUGCAUUUUUCUAUUAUUUCAUUAAACUACAUUUUGAGACUUGCACCAAGAUGGUGUUUUGAUCAUACAGCUGCUCUAUGCAAGUAAAGUUGUUGCUAUCUUCCAGCUAUAUUUGUGUUUUGAAAUGUCAGAUCGCAGUAAAUCUGUUAUCAGCUGGGCACAUGAAUGUUAUGAACAAUUGUCAGAUGUUUUGUUGUAUGUUUGAUGUCACAGCAAGAGCUAAUAUGAAUAUGGGAGGUGGUGGAAGUUUGGACCCCAGAUAGAUGAUCAUGGGUUCAUAAUGUGGUUUAUGGGUUUACAAUACUUUUCACAAAAUAACCCUCAAACACAUUAGACAAACUCUAAACAGGAUCAACAUACAGUAACAUUUUUUUUUUGUGUCUAAAAUGGGAAAAUAAAAGUGAAGAGAAUGUACUCCGUGAUAGGAAUACUCUCUCAAAACAGUACUGUUCCACCCAGUAAAUUAAAUAAAAGUGAAAUAUUACUCUAAAAAUAUAUAACCUUUUGCAAGCCUGUGAGAUUAUUGGUCUGUCCAGACAUUGUUGUAAUCCCUUUUGCUCUCUGUCAUUGAAGGGAUUUGCUUUUAAACAAAAUCAAUGUAAAGUUUUGGUUUCACUUUGUAUCUGAGGCAAAGAUAUGUUGUUUUGUAUGAAUAUAUCGAAUAAAUUUAAGUAUUUUCAA